This 2230-nucleotide long non-coding RNA is filed under the name Lathyrus oleraceus (garden pea). RNAcentral describes it as "Pisum sativum (pea) long non-coding RNA (PSAT_LNC009947)". Lineage: Eukaryota; Viridiplantae; Streptophyta; Magnoliopsida; Fabales; Fabaceae. The record is from RNAcentral.
AGUCCUUCUCUCAAGGCAGCCUCAUCAAUUUGGAUAACACCAAUACCACCCUUUUCAAGGUCUUCUACUUCAUCCUUGAUAGCCAAAGCAAUUUGAUAGCAGGUCUCAGAUCUGCAAAUAGAAUCACAUACACCAGGUUUAAAAUGACAUAAUAUGGUAAAUGCUGAUUAUCUCUUUUUUAAAGUGAUAAGGGGUCUAGUUUAUACCUAGGUUGGUCAACUCUAACAAAGGACCAGUUGAGAAUUGUGACAGGGCCAGUAAGCAUUCCCUUCAUUGGACGCUUGGUAAAGCUCUGAGCAAGAGCUGACCAGAAGACAGUCAUUGCCUUUGGGCGGCUCACAUCACCAUAGAUGAUUGGUGGCUUGACACAACGGGAUCCAUAUGAUUGCACCCACCCAUUGGCGGUAAAGGCAAAGCCUGACAACUGCUCGCCAAAGUACUCAACCAUGUCGUUCCUCUGCAACAAAAUGACACCAACAAUUAGUUAGACGUACAAUUUUUGAAUCAGCAAUCUAACAAGAGCAUAAGUAUGUCGAAAGCAGUUGCUCUUCAAAACAAAAGAAGUGAAGAGUAUAAUUAUAAAAGUUAACUAAAUCCAAGUGUAAUAAAGCUAUCUUCACUUAAAAAGACUAAAUGAAAGUCACUAGAAGAUGAUGAAAGUUGACCUCUGGCUCUCCGUGUACGAGGACAUCAAUAUCAAGCUCUUCUUGAAGUUGAACAACUUGGCGGAUUUCCUCCUUGAUUGCCUUGAUGUACUCUUCCUCAGAGAUCCUGAAUAAAACAACAAGAAUCAAUAAAGGAAUGCACAAUGUCAAAUAAACAAGGCAGAGAGAUCCACAAUUGUAGCAUUAUCUUACUUCUUAGCCUUGUAUUCACGACGCACCCUCCUAAGUUCUACAGUCUGAGGGAAUGAUCCAAUAGUGGUGGUUGGGAGAAUUGGAAGGUUAAGCUUCUUUUGUUGGGCAUCCAAUCUGGCACUGACAUUAGUAGCACGGCGAUGGUCAGAACCCUUCAAUGCAGCAGCCUGAGAGUUGAACAGAAAAGGUAUAAUUAAUACCUCCACAUACACAUGUAAACAAAAUCAGUAGUUAAACAGAGAGAAGAAAAAAUAAGCACUCACAGCCUUCUGAACAGCCUCGUUAGUCACUCUUGGAGAGGACUUUCUUGAAGCCUGAGCUGCAGCAUUAGCAGAGAAGAAGGCCUGAAAAUGAAAAUGCAUUAACUCAGGUGAAUUAUGUAGUGAAACAAACAGGAAUUUGCAUUUGUAAAUAGAACUUUUAUCUGAAACACUCAAAAGUCACAAACAAACUAUUGACAGUUGCAUAUAUUGCUUGCCACUGCUAACAAUUGUCUGAUGUCUAUUGACAUUGGUUAUUAAUAUUAUAGGCACUAGUUAUUCAUAUUACAGGUACCCAUUACUUAACUCUGAUUCUCGUGUUACACUUUUCUAUUCUUCCUGAUUCUCUUAAUUGUGCAGUUAUAUUAUUAUUAUUAUUAUUAUUAGAUAAAAUACCACAAUGUCAGUAGGAAACAAACAAUCAAACUAUGUUGAGACAAUAUUUCAAAUGUGACAUGAAAUGGAAGAAAUGGAUAUUACCUCAUCCUUGUUGCCAGAAACUGCAUUAGCCAAUGCAUUUACUUCAACAACUUUUUGGGCAGCAAAAGCUAGCCAUGACUUAAUUUCAUCAUCCAACUUGGUCUCGUUAACAAGAUCCACAGCAGUGUGAAGAAGUGAGCUGGAUGUGGAUACAACAACUCUCUCUGCAUAUGGUUUUUAAAUUAGAUACAUCAAUUGAAAAUGUUUACUUCAAAGACUCCCAAACUUUCCUAUGUAGUGAAUGUACAAUGUUCAAGGAAUACCUUUGCCCACAAUGGCAGCAAGAGUGUCUAAAGUUUUGAGAGAAUCAGCAAGAUCAUUUGCCCAAAUGUUCCUUCCAUCAACCACUCCAGCAAAGAUCAAUUUAUCACUAGGAAAUCCAGCCUUGAUCAAAUCAAUAGUCUUAGCUCCACGGACUAAAUCAAAUCCAUAUGCGUUGACACCACUCAAAGAUGUAAGGGUCUUGUAUGCUUCGGCGGUAAGAUCAGCAAAGUAGGUCUCAACAAGUACAUGCAGACCAGAAAGAGCAGGUGUAAGCUCAGCAUAUGCAUCGGUAAAUGCUUGCAACUUGUGAGAUUCAAGAUCCAAGACAAGUGUGGGUUCAUCAAAUUGAAUAAAUUGAGCACCAGCUGC